This 116-nucleotide ribosomal RNA is filed under the name Bacillus sp. 3a. Lineage: Bacteria; Bacillati; Bacillota; Bacilli; Caryophanales; Bacillaceae. The record is from RNAcentral.
UUUGGUGGCAAUAGCGAAGAGGUCACACCCGUUCCCAUACCGAACACGGAAGUUAAGCUCUUCAGCGCCGAUGGUAGUUGGGGGUUUCCCCCUGUGAGAGUAGGACGCCGCCAAGC